UUGAGGAAAGCUUAGCAUCACUGGGUAGUAGAAAUAGAUAGAUUGUUGCUUUAUAUUCGUUUUUCUCUGUUUACUUAUGGUUUUGAGACCAAAUGAGACAAUUUGCUAGCAACUUGCAGAAAUAGUUCAUGGUUGCUACUGUGGUGAGUGGUCGUAUCAAGUAUUGGCUGGACCAGAUGCAAAAAGCGCGGUCCCUCAACAAGUAAUGGGGCGUCUGAAAAUCGCUGCUCCCUUUAAUCCGACGGUCAGUAUAUUCUGUUGAAUUAACACUGAUUUUUCUUGUUUAUUUGUGGCCCUUUGAUAUCUACUAUGAUCUUUUUAAUCAUGCAAUACGGACUAGUUAAUGGGAAGAAUGUGGUUAUAUGUGUGUCUUUAUUUGUGAAAAAUGUGGGGUAAAGGAGAAAUGAUAUUGACAGGUGAACCAAUAUGCUUUUCAGUAUUUGGCACUCUAUGGAUAAUGAAUUAUAUGUGAACAAUAUUAUUUGCUUGCACUUGAAGUUUAAUCAAAUGUCUAAUGCAUGAUUAA
This is a long non-coding RNA of Salvia miltiorrhiza (redroot sage), 526 nucleotides long. RefSeq lists it as uncharacterized. NCBI's taxonomy places the organism in Eukaryota, Viridiplantae, Streptophyta, Magnoliopsida, Lamiales, Lamiaceae. The transcript has 2 exons. The record is from RefSeq and is a predicted model, not a curated record.